Notechis scutatus (mainland tiger snake) is the source of this 116-nucleotide non-coding RNA. The record is from RefSeq and is a predicted model, not a curated record. Lineage: Eukaryota; Metazoa; Chordata; Lepidosauria; Squamata; Elapidae.
AAUUCCAUUUGGAGAAAAGCAAGGUUUUACACCUAGGCAGGAAGAACCAAAGGUACAAAUACGGAUUAGGCGAAACCUGGCUCAAAAAACAGUAACUGUGAGAGGGACUUUGGAGU